This is a long non-coding RNA of Chinchilla lanigera (long-tailed chinchilla), 7533 nucleotides long. RefSeq lists it as uncharacterized. The record is from RefSeq and is a predicted model, not a curated record. The transcript is spliced from 7 exons. Lineage: Eukaryota; Metazoa; Chordata; Mammalia; Rodentia; Chinchillidae.
CUUGAACUCACUAUGUAACCCAAGCUGGUCUCAGACUCAUGCAGCUGUGAGGUGCAGAGCUGUCUGCUGUCGUGCACUCCUGCCAUGAUAUACUGUGGUACUGCAGGGCCAAAGCAGCAGAGCUGGGAGACCUUGGACUGACACCUUUGAAACCGGAAUGCUGAGAUGGAACCUGUAUUGUUGUGAUAAGAAUUUGUUUUAUAGACAAGCUUGGUGGCUACCUUUUUCUAAUCAUUCAAGUAUGGAUGCAGUUUUUCUAGAAUGUCAUCUACACCUGGAGCUUGGUGGAAAUCUAGAACACGAGACUAGGAAGGAAAACACUGCAGACAGAAAUGGAGAUCUCGGUUUCUCACUGCUUCACUAAGAGUGGCUCAGGUCACGUGAUUUCCUUCUUAGAUGCAGUUUUGCUAAGUUGCCAUGGACUGGGCUCAAAGUUGCAAUCCUGUGUCAGCCUCUGAGGGUUCCGGGAUCACAGCCUGCACCACUACUCCUGGCUUGUCCAAAGUUUCUGAGUAAACCGCAAGACUAGUUUUUCAAGCAUUCAAGGUAAUUCUGUGGCAUAAUCCCAUAAGAAACUAUAGAAUUAGAAAUUUCAUAAUCUCCUGUGAUGCUAUUCUUCCAGUUAGUUUUUCCAGACAGUUCUAUUUGUUUUGUCUGGAUGUUUUCUCAAUCUUAUAUAAAAUCCAUUACUUCUACCUCUGUAUAACUGUUUUCACCUUACACUGUGUUUUUCAUUUUCUAUUCUUAUCCUUAUGGUACCUACAUCCUCAUCUAUAUACCCAUAAAUUAUCCUCAAUAGACUUUUUGUGCUUGGUUACCUCUGGUUUUUUCAAGUAUAUAAUUACAUUUAUAAAGUUCUUCCAUAAUUUCUAACAUUAUGUCACUUCCAGGAUCAAGGGAUUUUUAAUUGUUAAAAAUGUUUAUUGGUACCUGUUUGUAGUAUGUAAUGAUUGCAUUCCUCAUGGGGAGUCCGUCCAGGUACAUUAGCAUCUUAAUUCUUUCACUUUCAACCCUUUUCUCUUUCCUCCCUUUCACUUCAUGGUUACUUCAGUUUUGAAUGGGAUUCAGUGUUUACUUGUUCUUUUUUUUUUUUUUAUUUAGCUUUUGAUUUGUUCUUUAUACCUCAAUUUCAGUUCUCACCUGGUCAAUGGACAAGAGGGUAUUGUCUCUAUCUACCUUGGUUGGGACCAAAUAGAAAAUAAUUUUAAUGGAUGUCCAGAGACUGACCAUUGUUCCUGAGUCACUCUAGGUUGAAGGCUCUUGUCUGACAAUUUGUGAAGAACACAGAAAAAAAAUCUCCUGAGGUCUACAACCCUCUGUAUAACACCAAUAGCAAAAGAGUUUAAAAAAGUAUGAUGUGCUUAAAAAAACCUUGGGAGAGUUCUAUUAUUAGCAGUAGGAAAAUAUAUCACUUUUUAAUUUAGUGAAAUUAAUAUCCAAAAUUAAUUGAAGUAUAUUUAAUUAAUUAAUAUGUCAUUAAUUUUUACAUGGAUUCUCCCCACUAGCGGUGUGUCUCUUAAAUGUCUGCUGGAAAGGUCUACUAUGGAAGCAUUGCUCACAGAUAGAGCAUUUUUUCCAGACACGUUUGCUACAUUUCUAUUUGCAUGAUUCUGCCCAGAGAGGGAUCACAUUUUUUCACCCUUAGACAUCCCGAAGUUAUGUGGGGAUUUCUCACUUCUAUCUGGUGCAAGCCCAUUGUGAAAGAAGAGUACCAUUAGCACUUCGUGUGAGCCUUGCUAGAGCUAUAAUUUUCUGUACCUGUUUGGCUUUGGCCAGAGAAAGAAGCCAAUGAUUGCAUGUUGACAUUGCCUGGCUUCUGGGGCCACUUUAUCCUGUUGGGCUGUGAAAUCCGCAUUCUUGUAAUGCCUAUCUCAUUUAUGCCAUUCUUUGCCUGAAUAUUUGCUACAGCAAAUUUCACAGAAAAGGAAUAGAGAUGAGUGAUUAAAAACAUAGCCUUCUGAGAUGAAGACUUCUACUGGCAAAACUCCAGGCCACACCAUUAAAAUAAAACUCUGAAGGACCCAGAGUAAUAAAACCUUGAGGCAGAAAAAGGUAUCUUAUCUCAGCAAUGACAAAGACAGUUGCCCAGAACAGUGUCAUCAUAUCCAGAUCCAUAAACUCAUCUAGGAACACAUAUUCAUCUAAAGUGUACUGAGCACUUAGGGUCUGCCUGGCACUGUGUUAGACUGAGAUGUACUGGACCAUGCGUCACCCUCGACUUCUUGGCUGUUAUGUUCUAGCAAAUGCAGCUGCCUGCUUAGAUCUCUUACAGAAAGCACAAACUCUACAACUAGAAAACUAAAUGGAUAAUAUUCCCCUGAAAAACCCUGCUCUAGCCUCUCUCUCCUCCUGUAUCAUCUGUUUUGGCAAAGUAUGCCACUACCUGCCCAGUGACUGAGGUCUGCACUGCACGAUCCCCUUCAUCAUGGUGAAUCACAAGUUCCGUCCGAGCUAGCAGCUUGGCACUUGACUCUGACCUUCUCUCCACUGGUCACAGCUUUCACUCCCAGUAAUUUUACUUUUGGGCCUGCACAUUGCAGCAGCAUCCAGUGUUACUUUCUCCACCAAUCAAUUCUUCCUACUGAUGCUGCGGUGAUAUUUUAAACAUGAAAAUGCUGGGAGGAUUAUGUCAAUUUUCUGUAGAAAGCCUUUACUGGAAAGGUUCUACAGUCACCUUAGAGGUGAACCCCAAACUUUUUAAUAUGGAUUAGAAGAAAGACCUUUGCAAAUAUGGUCUGGCCUUGACCCUACAAUGCCAGUGUUUGCCAUGGGUCUUACCUUCUAGUUUGAGCAAUGUUGAAAAUGAUGUUAUAUUCCAUACAAGCCGUAUAUCUAGUCUUUUAUACUUAAUAAGCCAUAAAACAUAAGCUUAUCACCCGGUCCUACUUAGGUUUAUGUGCUAGACUAUGAAACAAUUGUUUGUCAAGAAGGUGUUCCAUAUGUUACAAACCAGCUAAUUUCUUAGAAAAGCAAACAUUCGCAACUGAGAAUAAUAUAUAAAUACAUCUAGUUAGUGAGCUUUGAUGUUUAAAUAAUUAGACGAUGUGCCUAGUAAACAAAUAAGGGGGUUGGCACCAACUGAAUUGACUGGAAGAACUUAAUGGCUUGGAACACGAGAAUGGUAAAGGUCAGCGAUGUAAAGGGGAGUGGGGAAGAACGAGAUGGAAAUGGGAAAGGGACUGUGGGCCUGAGAAAUGGGACGGAGCUUCAGGAGGAGAUGAGUAGAGUGAAACUGCUGCCAAGAGCUCCAGUGGAACACCGGAAGAUGAAGACAGCAAGGAUACUAGCAGCUAACAGGUAGCACUUACAGCAGCAGUGACAUCAGCUCACAAUCAGACUUGCACAGCACUUACUAUGUGCCAAGCAAAGCCCUCUAAACAUGUUACACAUAUUAUGCAUGUUAACCAUAUUAACCAUUUAAUCUUCACUUGUCCUAUCUACCUCCUAUGACUGUUAAAAUGAUCAAAUGAAUCUAUUUUUAAAAAGUACUUGCAUAGUGAUAUCUAAAUAUUUGUCAAUAAAGCCCUCUUUCAUGGGGGCAUGGCAAGUCGUACACUUUGCUUGAGGCCACACAGCUCCUAAGUGGCAGAGGUCAGGUUAGAACCUGGUUACCUGGCCCUGGAGCCCACACGACCUCUGAGAUUUCUGUGGCCUACUGGGACAGUGACGGAGCUGCAGCUCUUCUUGCCUUCUUCACCUGCUGAGUGAUGGUUCAGGGUGCAUCUGCUCCUCCACGCAGAUCCCCUUCAUGCAGAAGAAUUCCAGCCUCAUGGGUUGGUGGGGGACUGCAUUGCUGCUGCUCACCUUAUCCCUCCCUCAUGUUCCGUCCCUCCGGUUGCUUUGGGGUGACCGUGUGGGAGGGACACUCCUUUAAGAGUUUCGGUGUGAUCUUAUUUAGCAAAAUAGAAACAAAAUACAAGCUGAGCCUGUAGACCCAUCACCAUUACUAGAAAAGGAUUUAAGAUCUUAAUAACAAGUGAGUCCAAGAUCUCUGGAUUAAGACUCAGAGUUAAGGGCCUCCUUGCCCUAGCCUUCUCCCAGUUCUUCUUUUCUUGCUUGUGUCCCUCAGCUGCUGAGCACCCAUCCCUGUCCUUACACUGUGAAAACAAUUAUGAUGACAAUAAAACUAAUGACCAGAACAGAGCAGCAUGAAUCUCUCCACACACAGAAACGAUAUUUGAGAAGACAGAAAUGCUUGCAACACUGAGCUGAUCAUUCUACAGUGUAUAUGUGUAUCAGAUGGUAACUCUGCACCCUGUAAAUACCUAUCCUAUUAUGCCAAUUAACAAAUAAAGUUAAUUUAAGAGGAAUGUGGUUAGCACAUAGUAAUGAACUCUUCUUAUAUGCUGGUCACAUGAAAGCAUAUCUCAUUUAAUUCUCACAGCAAGCUUGUACAGGAAGAACUGUUUUUAAAUUACCAUGGUAGGUGAAGAAACUGAGCCUUAGUGAAGGUUUGGUUGUUAAGUAGAAAGGUUGGAAUUAGAGCCCAGAUCUAUCUUUCUUACAUCCAGUGCCACACAUCCCUUCCUCCUCCCACUGAGCAUUCAGUGGAUUUGAUUUGUCUGAUUCUUGGGAGGUAAGUGAGGUGAUACACAUGGCUUCCCUGAAUGAGAUACUUGGGUAAGUGCUGCAGAAGGAAUUCCAUCCAUUGAGAAGGCCACUUUAAGCCAUGAACAUUAUGAAAGGCACUGAAUAAGAUCACAAGAUUUAUUACCAAGGCCAGUACCUGCUUAAUGAGUAUCUACAAUGCCCUGGACCAUAUCUGAUAGUGGCACAGAGAACAGCAGUGUCAUACAAGAUGUGAAUGCUGCUUCCAAGAAAGCAUUUGAAAGGGAAGAUAGGACCCGCUCUGGUCAGCAGCAGAGCCCAGGAGAAGCUGGAAUGGUGGAUUCUGUGAGGCCUCUGUGAGUGACUGGGUAUCCGGCUGUGACCUUUUCCAUUCUGUCCUCUUCAGAGUGAAUCUGGACCCCAAGGGCUAGCCUGAAAUUGAAUGAGAGCUGAAAGACCUGAAACAUUAAUAAGCUCAAGAGAAACAGACACUUUGUUUCUUCUCAAGGCCCAGAAGAAGGUGGCAGACUUCAUGUUCCUGAAGGAGAAAAGCUUGGGUCUAUCUUCAUUAUAACGUGGUCCAUGGAAGGACCAUCUGCUGCUCCCGACCUCGGUGGCUCAGGAAGAGCAGACAAGCUCUGCACUCCGUCGGUGGCAUCUCUCCCAUCUUCCCAGGGCCUUAGUAGAUGGUAGUGGGACCAUGAACUUCCAAGUCUUUCACCACCUUGGAGUUUCCCCAAGUCCAACACCAAAACACCUAUUGUACAAGGAGGUAGAACAUGGCUUUCAGGAGAGAUCCUAGUUCCUCUAAUGGGAUUUAGGAAUGGGGAGAGAAAUCCAAAUGUGUGGAAGAUGAUUCCUUGAGACAGAGAUAAAGGUAUGAACAUAGAAAUGGGGAGUGUUCUCAAAGGUACUCCAGUGGAACACCGCGAGGCAAUUUUGGGUCCUAAAAUAAUGAUUUCUAAGUUAAAAUAUCCCUUUUGUGAAUGAGAAAAAUGUGUGAUUUCUGCUGGCUAUUGAAUUAGAGAUCAGGAAGAUUAAGUGAAUGGAAGCAGAACAUGCCACAAAGAGAAAAAAAUAGGUAGUAGGACAAAAUUUCUUUUUUCAGUGAACUAAGAGAAACGGAAAUUUCACAGGCAAAUAAUGAGGGAUCUGAAUGAAAGAAGGCAGAGAAGCAUAUUUUCCUGAGCUGAAGAGGCUGUUAGCUUUCUAAUAACAAGAAUUGAGUCUAAGAAAGAAUUAACACCAAAAAAUGAACCAAUCCAAGGAAAACCACCACACUAGACAUCUCAUUAAACUCCUGACCAUUUAACAUAGGUGGUGAUGUAGUGUUCUUCUUGGGUCCCCCUCUAGGACUGCACAAUGAUAAUCCUCCACUUCUGCAGUCCAAUCUCUGCUGGCUUCUUAAGAUAAGAUACAGAGGAAAAGGCCUCUCAUCCUAACUUGCUAAUUCAGACUCAGCUCCUGCAAGGUCUGUUGUGGCCUCCUUUGAGGCCACACCAUAGCUCACCUCAUCCCUUUGCAUUAUCCUGUACAUAUCCUACAACUAUAUAUAAUGCAUGGUGCUCAGUGGGUUUUUAUGCUCUGAUUUCUUACUGCAUAGAGACUGCAGGGUAGAGGUAAGAAAAGAGGGUAGACAUUGGAGGAGAGAGAGUCAUUUAUUGUUAGGCAAAGAUAUUAGUUAUUUGUGCUUAUUUAUUUAAGUCCUAUCCCAUGUCUUCAUCUCUUAUAAGCACAAUUCCCAAGAGAACGCUACCAUUCCUGCCCACAAAUCCCAUUUCACAUGGUUCCCUGGGGGCUCUGACCCAUAACUCUGUACAUAAAGCAAAGCAAAGCAAAGCAAAACAACAACAAAACUCACCUUUUGAAAACUAAACCAAAGCACAGAAUUCCCUCUCCCCAAACUCCUAAGCCUCAUGAAAUUUUCUGAUAGAAACAGAUUAAGUAUACAGGAAAAAGAGGCUCACACUAUACUUGCUCACAAUUUUGAAAGCUGAAAGAGAGUGAAAUUAUGUGCAGAGAGCAACAUCUACUAAAAGGUAAAGAUGAUGAAAUACAACCGACUGGGAGAAGUCCUGAGAUCCAAGAAACCCUUAAUCAGUAAAAUAGAAUUCAUUUGAUCCAAGAGAAAAUCAAUUUAGGAUGGGAAAUUCAGUGUAUACUACUCAGAUAGUCCUCUGACACGAACACUACAGAAAGUCCUCUAACCACAUGGCAGUUCAGUUAAAAGAGGAUCUCAGGACCAAAAGGGGUAGAAACAAGCCAUCAUGCAGUGAUAUGGGUGGGACUUUGUACUUUCAAGGUGAGGCACAACUAUUGGAACAGAAAAAAUGAAAAGGGCCAUGUGCUGUAAUUCAGCGAUGUCAAGUAAGAGUUGAAGUUUGUACGAAAACAGAUGGGGAAAAUGAUGGGGAAAAUCAUCAUUCAUAGUAUCACUAACAGGAGGAAAAUCAACUUCAGUAGUUGUGGACAAAGAACAAGCAGAAAUACUUUUCAAAUUACCAAUUAGAGUAAAGGAGCAAAGAGAGAAACUCAGUUUGGUUGCCAAACAAUAGCAAAAUGUAGACACUAGAAGUUAAAUAUAAAAUGCAGGAAGUGAAUAAAUCAGUUUUAUAAGAAAUAUGAAUGGGUAUAGCUCUUUAUCAAGUGAUUAAGUUAAGAAACAAAAUCUAGGUAUCCAGUCAUAAGAGCCAACCUUGAUUGAGAAGAGAUAACCUUUAUCAUUAAAAUAUAGGGAUUAAAAAUAAAUUUUAAAAUAUACAAAGUAAAAAAAUAGCAAAAUAAAACAGUAAUGUAGAGGGAAGAUAUUAAUAGAGAGCUAAAAGAAAAAUAAAGAAAGUAUGUAAAAUGAAAAUUAAUUUCAUUGAAAAUAUCAAGUCUGAUUGGGAAGACAGAGAAAGUGAAAGAAAUACAACAUUAUAAGGAAAUAUAAACAUAAAAGGUACAAUAGAUAUUGUAAUAGGGAAAGAGACUGCACAAAAGGAA